UACGUAGGUGGCAAGCGUUGUCCGGAUUUACUGGGCGUAAAGAGCGCGCAGGCGGUCGUUCAAGUCGCGUGUGAAAGCCCCCGGCUCAACUGGGGAGGGUCACGCGAUACUGAUCGACUCGAAGGCAGGAGAGGGUAGUGGAAUUCCCGGUGUAGUGGUGAAAUGCGUAGAUAUCAUGAGGAAUACCAGAGGCGAAGGCGGCUCCCUGGACAAUAGCUGACACUCAGGCACGAAAGCGUGGGGAGCAAAAGGG
Molecule: ribosomal RNA, 253 nt
Filed under: uncultured bacterium
Lineage: Bacteria
Description: partial 16S ribosomal RNA
Rfam family: Bacterial small subunit ribosomal RNA
Source: RNAcentral